RNAcentral lists this transfer RNA (75 nucleotides) under Roseivirga thermotolerans. RNAcentral's name for it is "tRNA-Ala". It matches the Rfam family "tRNA". From Rfam's summary of the family: Transfer RNA (tRNA) molecules are approximately 80 nucleotides in length. Their secondary structure includes four short double-helical elements and three loops (D, anti-codon, and T loops). Lineage: Bacteria; Pseudomonadati; Bacteroidota; Cytophagia; Cytophagales; Roseivirgaceae. The record is from RNAcentral.
GGGGGUUUAGCUCAGCUGGCUAGAGCGCUACACUGGCAGUGUAGAGGUCACCGGUUCGAAUCCGGUAUCCUCCAC